UUGACCUCGGAUCAGGUAGGGAUACCCGCUGAACUUAAGCAUAUCAAUAAGCGGAGGAAAAGAAACCAACAGGGAUUGCCCUAGUAACGGCGAGUGAAGCGGCAACAGCUCAAAUUUGAAAUCUGGCGCAAGCCCGAGUUGUAAUUUGUAGAGGAUGCUUCAGGGCAGCGGCCGGUCUAAGUUCCUUGGAACAGGACGUCAUAGAGGGUGAGAAUCCCGUAUGCGACCGGUUGGCACCCGUCACGUAGCUCCUUCGACGAGUCGAGUUGUUUGGGAAUGCAGCUCUAAAUGGGAGGUAAAUUUCUUCUAAAGCUAAAUACCGGCCAGAGACCGAUAGCGCACAAGUAGAGUGAUCGAAAGAUGAAAAGCACUUUGGAAAGAGAGUUAAAAAGCACGUGAAAUUGUUGAAAGGGAAGCGCAUGCAACCAGACUUGUCGGCGGUGUUCCGCCGGUCUUCUGACCGGUCUACUCGCCGCCGGCAGGCCAGCAUCAUCUGGGCGCGCCGGACAAAGGCGCGGGGAAUGUGGCUCCUCGGAGUGUUAUAGCCCCGCGCACAAUACGGCGCCGCUCGGGUGAGGUCCGCGCUUCGGCUAGGAUGCUGGCGUAAUGGUUGUCUGCGGCCCGUCUUGAAACACGGACCAAGGAGUCUAACAUCUAUGCGAGUGUUCGGGUGUCAAACCCCUACGCGUAAUGAAAGUGAACGGAGGUGGGAAGCGCAAGCUGCACCAUCGACCGAUCCUGAUGUCUUCGGAUGGAUUUGAGUAAGAGCAUAGCUGUUGGGACCCGAAAGAUGGUGAACUAUGCCUGAAUAGGGUGAAGCCAGAGGAAACUCUGGUGGAGGCUCGCAGCGGUUCUGACGUGCAAAUCGAUCGUCAAAUUUGGGUAUAGGGGCGAAAGACUAAUCGAACAUC
RNAcentral lists this ribosomal RNA (911 nucleotides) under Teratosphaeria gauchensis. Its description in RNAcentral is "eukaryotic LSU rRNA". It matches the Rfam family "Eukaryotic large subunit ribosomal RNA", at positions 1 to 944 of the family's 3401-position model. The record is from RNAcentral. Lineage: Eukaryota; Fungi; Ascomycota; Dothideomycetes; Mycosphaerellales; Teratosphaeriaceae.